Molecule: long non-coding RNA, 505 nt
Filed under: Gallus gallus (chicken)
Lineage: Eukaryota; Metazoa; Chordata; Aves; Galliformes; Phasianidae
Description: long non-coding RNA NONGGAT005599
Source: RNAcentral
CAUCGAAGGCGUUUCGGAGCCGUAACAAAAGCACAUGAUGUCACAGAGGCACUGCGGAGUGAUCAGGAAGCACAGCCUGGGACCAUUUGCAUCCUUCCUUUUAACUAACAUUUUCCUAAUGACGUGCGCAGCGUGCUGAGCGGGCAAUCGCAUUAUAUACACACAAAGGAGUCAUAAAAAUUCCAGGAUGACGGAACAAAAUCCUUACAGAGCUCCACGGAUAAAAUACAACCGCGUUGGAAGGAGUUGGAACGGUCCACGGAGGGAGCACAGUGGCUGCAGCUCAUCGCAUGGAGAAACCCCUUCAUCCUCCAGUCAAUGAUCCCAUGGGGUCCCAACAAGGGGAGAGUCCACGGUGACAAACCACGGUGCUGCCAAUGUCCCCGAGGAGCCUUGGGAAGGGAGGAAAUCAAAAGCGCUUCCAGUCGAGAGAGGGUUUUGCUCUUCAGUUGUAGGGAAGAUAUUCCAAACCCAAACCACAAAGCAAAUAUCGUUAAGGGAGGCC